RNAcentral lists this ribosomal RNA (498 nucleotides) under uncultured bacterium. RNAcentral describes it as "partial 16S ribosomal RNA". It matches the Rfam family "Bacterial small subunit ribosomal RNA", at positions 30 to 523 of the family's 1533-position model. The record is from RNAcentral.
AUUGAACGCUGGCGGCAUGCCUUACACAUGCAAGUCGAACGGUAACAGGUCUUCGGAUGCUGACGAGUGGCGAACGGGUGAGUAAUACAUCGGAACGUGCCUAGGAGUGGGGGAUAACUACUCGAAAGAGUGGCUAAUACCGCAUGAGAUCUACGGAUGAAAGCAGGGGAUCGCAAGACCUUGUGCUACUAGAGCGGCCGAUGGCAGAUUAGGUAGUUGGUGGGAUAGAAGCUUACCAAGCCGACGAUCUGUAGCUGGUCUGAGAGGACGAUCAGCCACACUGGGACUGAGACACGGCCCAGACUCCUACGGGAGGCAGCAGUGGGGAAUUUUGGACAAUGGGCGCAAGCCUGAUCCAGCAAUGCCGCGUGCAGGAUGAAGGCCUUCGGGUUGUAAACUGCUUUCGUACGGAACGAAAAGCCCUGGGUUAAUACCCUGGGGUCAUGACGGUACCGUAAGAAUAAGCACCGGCUAACUACGUGCCAGCCGCCGCGGUAA